AUAGUACUCCCUCCGUCCGAAAAUACUUGUCAUUGAAAUGGAUGUAUCUAGAUGUAUUUUAGUUAAAAUACAUCUAGAUACAUCCAUUUCAAUGACAAGUAUUUUCGGACGGAGGGAGUACGUG
This is a non-coding RNA of Triticum aestivum (bread wheat), 124 nucleotides long. The record is from Rfam. NCBI's taxonomy places the organism in Eukaryota, Viridiplantae, Streptophyta, Magnoliopsida, Poales, Poaceae.